CUCUGCCUUGUCACUCUUUCUCUGGCUUAUCACUGGGGAAACCAGAGAGGCCAGGACGUCAGGCCCGGAAUGGGAAGCCAGAAGGGCCAAGGACGCGCGGAAGGUAGCUCAGCGGAGAACACCAGGCCAGGGCGGAGGUGCCGCAGCGCCACGUCCAGGGGGUAAGGACCCCAAGGAUUAUUUGUUUUGAUGCUCAAUAUGUCACAGAUUUGGCUAGUGGAAGAGACUUCAAGCUGUCCCUUUGGACUUGUCUUCGUUAUUCUUUGAGCAAACACUUCCUUGCUUUCUGACACAAGAUGCUCCAGGCUCAUCUCGCAUCUUUCUUGUCUAGACCUGGGAGCUAGCAGCUUCUCUGAAGAGCCAAGCAAUCUUCAAACUUUAUUUUCUUAUUGUGUCUCCCUAAGUUGUCCACGUGGGACUUGAAAUUGUGACCC
Chinchilla lanigera (long-tailed chinchilla) is the source of this 434-nucleotide long non-coding RNA. RefSeq lists it as uncharacterized. Lineage: Eukaryota; Metazoa; Chordata; Mammalia; Rodentia; Chinchillidae. The transcript is spliced from 3 exons. The record is from RefSeq and is a predicted model, not a curated record.